AGCAGCCGCGGUAAUUCCAGCUCCAAUAGCGUAUAUUAAAGUUGUUGCAGUUAAAAAGCUCGUAGUUGAAUUUCGGGAUCAAUUUAUCGGUCGUGCCAACGGUAUGAACUGGUACAAUUGGUUUCUCCCUUCUGAUGAAGCACGAUGUCAUUAACUUGGUGUCGUGGGGAAUCAGGACUGUUACUUUGAAAAAAUUAGAGUGUUUAAAGCAGGCCUUGGCUUGAAUACAUUAGCAUGGAAUAAUGAAAUAGGACGUUUGAUCCUAUUUCGUUGGUUUCUAGGAUCGACGUAAUGAUUAAUAGGGAUAGUUGGGGGCAUUAGUAUUCAAUUGUCAGAGGUGAAAUUCUUGGAUUUAUUGAAGACUAACUACUGCGAAAGCAUUUGCCAAGGAUGUUUUCAUUAAUCAAAGAACGAAAGUUAGGGGAUCGAAGACGAUCAGAUACCGUCGUAGUCUUAACCAUAAACAUGCCGACUAGGAUCGGAUGAUGUUAAUUUUU
RNAcentral lists this ribosomal RNA (497 nucleotides) under uncultured Glomus. RNAcentral describes it as "SSU rRNA". It matches the Rfam family "Eukaryotic small subunit ribosomal RNA", at positions 569 to 1071 of the family's 1831-position model. Lineage: Eukaryota; Fungi; Glomeromycota; Glomeromycetes; Glomerales; Glomeraceae. The record is from RNAcentral.